GAUCUUCGGACCUCGUGCUAUUAGAUGAGUCUGCGUCGGAUUAGCUUGUUGGUGAGGUAAUGGCUCACCAAGGCGACGAUCCGUAGCUGGUCUGAGAGGAUGACCAGCCACACUGGAACUGAGACACGGUCCAGACUCCUACGGGAGGCAGCAGUGGGGAAUAUUGCACAAUGGGCGCAAGCCUGAUGCAGCCAUGCCGCGUGUGUGAAGAAGGCCUUAGGGUUGUAAAGCACUUUCAGCAGUGAGGAAAGGGGUGUCGUUAAUAGCGCCAUCCUGUGACGUAACUGCAAGAAGAAGGACCGGCUAACUCCGUG
This 314-nucleotide ribosomal RNA is filed under the name uncultured bacterium. RNAcentral describes it as "bacterial SSU rRNA". It matches the Rfam family "Bacterial small subunit ribosomal RNA", at positions 201 to 507 of the family's 1533-position model. The record is from RNAcentral.